This is a long non-coding RNA of Camelina sativa (false flax), 526 nucleotides long. RefSeq lists it as uncharacterized. The record is from RefSeq and is a predicted model, not a curated record. Lineage: Eukaryota; Viridiplantae; Streptophyta; Magnoliopsida; Brassicales; Brassicaceae.
UUUAUGUUCAUGAGUGGCUUCUUGGCCAACCCCGACGGACCCGACCCCAUCAUCAUCAUUACCCACUUUCACGUCCUUAAAAUUAUUCUCUCUUAUCUCUCUCUUUCCCUAAACCCAGAUAAAAAAGAACAAGAUCAUAGAUUAUUCUCUCUUAUUCUACUUUUACUUUUUAAUUCUUUUCAUUUCACUCAAUAACAACAAGAAUCCCUAGAUCUCCUGAUCCAUCUGUAAAAUUAGAAAAUUUCUGAGAUUUGAUCAUAUGGAUCACCUAAAAAUCUAUUCUUUUUGAUCUGCGUUUAAUGCCAAGAUUCAUCAUUUCAUAUGGGAAACUAUGAACCAGUCGCAGAUAACACAUGAGACUGUGUUCUUCCUCAUGAGUCGUUUUGAAUUCCACUUCUAAUGAAAAGAGAAAACGAGAAGAAGAAAAAAGAAAAAUCGAUUUGGGAAUUUUUGUUUUUCAAAUUUUCUUGGUUUAGUUUUGUAAUUGGGUUAAAUUUUGGUAAAAUCCGGUUAAAUGAGUUUAUUA